This 348-nucleotide unclassified non-coding RNA is filed under the name soil metagenome. RNAcentral's name for it is "partial contains 5.8S ribosomal RNA, internal transcribed spacer 2, and large subunit ribosomal RNA". The stretch from base 1 to 120 matches the Rfam family "5.8S ribosomal RNA", at positions 35 to 154 of the family's 154-position model. The record is from RNAcentral.
GAUGAAGAACGCAGCAAAAUGCGAUAAGUAAUGUGAAUUGCAGAAUUCAGUGCAUCAUCGAAUCUUUGAACGCACAUUGCGCCCGCUGGUAUUCCGGCGGGCAUGCCUGUUCGAGCGUCAUUUCAACCCUCAAGCCCCCGGGUUUGGUGUUGGGGAUCGGCUCUGCCCUUCUGGGCGGUGCCGCCCCCGAAAUACAUUGGCGGUCUCGCUGCAGCCUCCAUUGCGUAGUAGCUAACACCUCGCAGCUGGAACGCGGCGCGGCCAUGCCGUAAAACCCCAACUUCUGAAUGUUGACCUCGGAUCAGGUAGGAAUACCCGCUGAACUUAAGCAUAUCAAUAAGCGGAGGA